RNAcentral lists this ribosomal RNA (337 nucleotides) under uncultured bacterium. RNAcentral's name for it is "partial 16S ribosomal RNA". It matches the Rfam family "Bacterial small subunit ribosomal RNA", at positions 338 to 672 of the family's 1533-position model. The record is from RNAcentral.
CCUACGGGUGGCAGCAGUGAGGAAUAUUGGUCAAUGGACGAGAGUCUGAACCAGCCAAGUAGCGUGAAGGAUUACUGCCCUAUGGGUUGUAAACUUCUUUUAUCAAGGAAUAAAACGAGGCACGUGUGCCUUGUUGCAUGUACUUUAUGAAUAAGGAUCGGCUAACGCCGUGCCCGCAGCCGCGGUAAUACGGUGUCUCCGAGCGUUAUCCGUAUUUAUUGGGUUUAAAGGGAGCGUAGAUGGGUUGUUACGUCAGUUGUGAAAGUUUGCGGCUCAACCGUAAACUUGCCAUUGAUACGGGCAGUCUUGAGUCCACUUGAGGUCGGCGGAAUUCGUG